RNAcentral lists this non-coding RNA (30 nucleotides) under Mus musculus (house mouse). Lineage: Eukaryota; Metazoa; Chordata; Mammalia; Rodentia; Muridae. The record is from RNAcentral.
CCUCAGAGAAAACAAGGGAUGUUUAAGGGG